Molecule: ribosomal RNA, 253 nt
Filed under: uncultured bacterium
Lineage: Bacteria
Description: partial 16S ribosomal RNA
Rfam family: Bacterial small subunit ribosomal RNA
Source: RNAcentral
UACAGAGGGUGCGAGCGUUAAUCGGAAUUACUGGGCGUAAAGCGUGCGUAGACGGUUAUUUAAGUCGGAUGUGAAAUCCCCAGGCUUAACCUGGGAACUGCAUCUGAUACUGGAUGGCUUGAAUCCGGGAGAGGGAUGCAGAAUUCCAGGUGUAGCGGUGAAAUGCGUAGAUAUCUGGAGGAAUACCGGUGGCGAAGGCGGCAUCCUGGACCGGCAUUGACGCUGAUGAGCGAAAGCUAGGGGAGCAAACGGG